Molecule: ribosomal RNA, 2091 nt
Filed under: human gut metagenome
Description: bacterial LSU rRNA
Rfam family: Bacterial large subunit ribosomal RNA
Source: RNAcentral
UGUGGAUAGGGGAGAAAUUCCAAUCGAACCCGGAGAUAGCUGGUUCUCCUCGAAAUAGCUUUAGGGCUAGCCUCAUACAAGUCUUGCGGAGGUAGAGCACUGAAUUUCCUAGGGGGCGUCAAAGCUUACCGAAGAAUAUCAAACUCCGAAUGCCGCGUAGAUGGUGUAUGGGAGUCAGACUGCACGAGAUAAGUUGGGUAGUCAAAAGGGAAAGAGCCCAGACCUGCAGCUAAGGUCCCAAAAUGUGUGUUAAGUGGAAAAGGAUGUGGGAUUUCGAAGACAACUAGGAUGUUGGCUCAGAAGCAGCCAUACAUUCAAAGAGUGCGUAAUAGCUCACUAGUCGAGAGGUCCUGCGCCGAAAAUGUCCGGGGCUGAAACACACUACCGAAGCUCAGGAAUGUACUUGUACAUUGGUAGAGGAGCAUUGUAUACGGGAAGAAGCAGUACCGAUAAGGAGCUGUGGACUGUAUAGAAGAGAGAAUGCCGGAAUGAGUAGCGAGAGGAAGGUGAGAAUCCUUCCGGCCGAAUAUCUAAGGUUUCCAGAGUAAAGCUGAUCUGCUCUGGGUAAGUCGGGGCCUAAGGCCAGGUCGAAAGACGUAACCGAUGGACAACAGGUUGAAAUUCCUGUACCGCGAUAUAACAGAACUGUGGGGACACGUGUGGAGAGCACAAGCCGGGAAUGGAAAGCCCGGCGCAAGCGAGGUAGGAGUCGUACUGGCAAAUCCGUACGGCAAUCCGAAGACGUGAUGCGUACCGAAAUAAGAGUAGGGAAGAGUGUGAGCCAUGCGUCAAGAAAAGCCGCUAUUGUUUGUAUCGCGCCCGUACCGUAAACCGACACAGGUGGAUGAGGAGAGAAUCCUAAGGCCGACGGGAGAAGCAUUGUUAAGGAACUCGGCAAAAUGACUCCGUAACUUCGGGAGAAGGAGUGCCACUGAGAGGUGGCCGCAGAGAAUUGGCCCAAGCAACUGUUUAGCAAAAACACAGGUCUAUGCAAAACCGAAAGGUGAAGUAUAUGGGCUGACGCCUGCCCGGUGCUGGAAGGUUAAGGGGAGAGGUUAGCGCAAGCGAAGCUUUGAACUUAAGCCCCAGUAAACGGCGGCCGUAACUAUAACGGUCCUAAGGUAGCGAAAUUCCUUGUCGGGUAAGUUCCGACCCGCACGAAAGGCGUAAUGAUUUGGGCACUGUCUCAACAAUGCACCCGGUGAAAUUGAAAUACCAGUGAAGAUGCUGGUUACCUGCGCCAGGACGGAAAGACCCCAUGGAGCUUUACUCCAGCUUGAUACUGGGAUUCGGUAUUGCAUGUACAGGAUAGGUGGGAGGCUAAGAAGCGGUAACGCCAGUUGCCGUGGAGCUGCUGUUGGGAUACCACCCUUGCAGUACUGGGUUUCUAACCAGCGGCCUUAAUCAGGUCGGGGGACAAUGUCAGGUGGGGAGUUUGACUGGGGCGGUCGCCUCCGAAAGGGUAUCGGAGGCGCUCAAAGGUUCCCUCAGAAUGGUCGGAAACCAUUCGAAGAGUGCAAAGGCAGAAGGGAGCUUGACUGCGACACCGACGGGUGGAGCAGGUACGAAAGUAGGACUUAGUGAUCCGGUGGUAUAAAGUGGGAUUGCCAUCGCUCAACGGAUAAAAGCUACCCUGGGGAUAACAGGCUUAUCACUCCCAAGAGUUCACAUCGACGGAGUGGUUUGGCACCUCGAUGUCGGCUCAUCGCAUCCUGGGGCUGAAGUAGGUCCCAAGGGUUGGGCUGUUCGCCCAUUAAAGCGGUACGCGAGCUGGGUUCAGAACGUCGUGAGACAGUUCGGUCCCUAUCCGGCGUGGGCGUAGGAUAUUUGAGAGGAGCUGUCCUUAGUACGAGAGGACCGGGAUGGACUGGCCGCUGGUUGAUCUGUUGUUCCGCCAGGAGCAUAGCAGAGUAGCCAAGCCGGGACGGGAUAAACGCUGAAGGCAUCUAAGCGUGAAGCCCCCCUCAAGAUGAGAUAUCCCAUCGCGAAAGCGAGUAAGACCCCUUGAAGACGACGAGGUAGAUAGGUUAGAGGUGGAAGUGCAGUAAUGUAUGGAGCUGACUAAUACUAAUCGGUCGAGGGCUUAUCCAA